UGUUUGCGAUUUCGGCUGGCACCGCUUGCAAAUAAAACCCCUCAUUCGCUCAAGCAGAUCAAUUGAGAUCGCGGAGGGCUUUUUUUUUCUUCAGUUUAUUACGCUCCAGUCAUACUUUGAAUGUGUGAAGUGUCAGUCAAAAAGAAGACGUUACGUGAGGCGAAUUGCUUCCAAUGGAGGUGGCGGACAUGACGAUGAACGUACUCAGUAAAUGGGAACCUCUUGGAAAGGGAAAUUAUAAAGAAAAAAAAGAUUGAAGAAGUCGCUUAACUUAAAAAAAAAAAAAAG
This is a long non-coding RNA of Hippocampus comes (tiger tail seahorse), 288 nucleotides long. RefSeq lists it as uncharacterized. The transcript has 2 exons. NCBI's taxonomy places the organism in Eukaryota, Metazoa, Chordata, Actinopteri, Syngnathiformes, Syngnathidae. The record is from RefSeq and is a predicted model, not a curated record.